This 429-nucleotide ribosomal RNA is filed under the name Bacteroidota bacterium. Its description in RNAcentral is "Bacteroidetes bacterium partial 16S ribosomal RNA". It matches the Rfam family "Bacterial small subunit ribosomal RNA", at positions 355 to 776 of the family's 1533-position model. The record is from RNAcentral. Lineage: Bacteria; Pseudomonadati; Bacteroidota.
UAGGGAAUCUUCCGCAAUGGACGCAAGUCUGACGGAGCAACGCCGCGUGAGUGAAGAAGGAUUUCGGUUCGUAAAACUCUGUUGUUAGAGAAGAACAGCGCAUAGAGUAACUGUUAUGCGUGUGACGGUAUCUAACCAGAAAGCCACGGCUAACUACGUGCCAGCAGCCGCAGUAAUACGUAGGUGGCAAGCGUUGUCCGGAUUUAUUGGGCGUAAAGCGAGCGCAGGCGGUCAAUUAAGUCUGAUGUGAAAGCCCCCGGCUCAACCGGGGAGGGUCAUUGGAAACUGGUUGACUUGAGUGCAGAAGAGGAGAGUGGAAUUCCAUGUGUAGCGGUGAAAUGCGUAGAUAUAUGGAGGAACACCAGUGGCGAAGGCGACUCUCUGGUCUGUAACUGACGCUGAGGUUCGAAAGCGUGGGUAGCAAACAGG